RNAcentral lists this transfer RNA (87 nucleotides) under Candidatus Omnitrophota bacterium. RNAcentral describes it as "Candidatus Omnitrophica bacterium tRNA-Ser". It matches the Rfam family "tRNA". From Rfam's summary of the family: Transfer RNA (tRNA) molecules are approximately 80 nucleotides in length. Their secondary structure includes four short double-helical elements and three loops (D, anti-codon, and T loops). The record is from RNAcentral. Lineage: Bacteria; Pseudomonadati; Candidatus Omnitrophota.
GGAGAGAUGGCUGAGUGGUUGAAAGCGGCGCUCUCGAAAAGCGUUGUUCACGUAAGUGAACCGGGGGUUCGAAUCCUCCUCUCUCCG